CCUACGGGCGGCAGCAGUGAGGAAUAUUGGUCAAUGGACGAGAGUCUGAACCAGCCAAGUAGCGUGAAGGAUGACUGCCCUAUGGGUUGUAAACUUCUUUUAUAUGGGAAUAAAAUGUUCCACGUGUGGGAUUUUGUAUGUACCAUAUGAAUAAGGAUCGGCUAACUCCGUGCCAGCAGCGGCGGUAAUACGGAGGAUCCUAGCGUUAUCCGGAUUUAUUGGGUUUAAAGGGAGCGUAGGUGGAUUGUUAAGUCAGUGGUGAAAGUUUGCGGCUAAACCGUAAAUUGCAGUUGAAACUGGCAGUCUUGAGUACAGUAGAGGUGGGCGGAAUUCGUGGUGUAGCGGUGAAAUGCUUAGAUAUCACGAAGAACUCCGAUUGCGAAGGCAGUUCACUGGACUGCAACUGACACUGAGGCUCGAAAGUGUGGGUAUCAAACAGGAUUAGAUACCCCAGUAGUC
This 459-nucleotide ribosomal RNA is filed under the name uncultured bacterium. RNAcentral's name for it is "partial 16S ribosomal RNA". It matches the Rfam family "Bacterial small subunit ribosomal RNA", at positions 338 to 795 of the family's 1533-position model. The record is from RNAcentral.